GUCAGAUAUACUAUAUACUGGGAUUUCCUGUUAACUAGCAAAAUAGAAGCACUUUAGCUGAUCUAACAUCAUGGGUCAGGUAUUUUGGGAUGGAGCUGAACUUGCAAUAGCAUUAGCAAAAUGAAAACCUUAGCAUGUUGAAUGAUAGCAGAUAAGAAACUUGUAUUUCUUGCAAUUGGCUCUAGAUGUUGAUAAGAAAUGCCCAUGUGCAAUAUCUUGAAAGCUUGGAUUUGAAUCCAGAAAGCUUAGGUUGAUCUUAUGUUCUUACCCCUGUUUUUUUCCUAAUCAGCAUGUUUAUUACCUUAGUACCCUAGCCACUGCCAAAAGUUUUUACCUUGAUCCACUAUUGGCAGCUACCAUUGAAAUUUCUAAAACCUAUACACAUAUUUGUUUUAGAAUUUAAGCUUGUGCAAGAGUAUAUGUUUAUGUCACUGAAGUAUGAGCUAUUGCAAUAAUUAUUUCUUCAUAUGACAGGGUAAGGCUAAAGAUGAAAAGAAUCAAUGACUAGGACAAUGGGAAAAUGUGAACUCAUGCCAUCUUUGCAAAGUAGAAAAGCUCUUUUUUGAGCCUCCACCUACUUUGAGCCAACAACAGUGUGCUAUGAAACAUAUUGGCCUAAAUAAUCUGUAAAUCGGAAUUUGAACAUGGGACCAUUGUAGACCUAGGCAUACAUUCUCUAAUUCAUAAGUGGUCGAUUAUACAAUAGUAGAAAAACUACAAACACAUGUUUGUUUAGAGAGGCUGGCAUACCAAAAAAUGUCAGAGUCAUAAUGACUGGACCAAAUGUUGGUGAACACCAAUCAUAAAUUUAGAGAGGAUGGUGUAAGUUUGUUUUGGUUGCGCCAGUGCAGACCUUUUGGUCAAACCCUCAGGCUUGCAGCUCUAAAGAAGCCAUGUACUACUAAAUGUGGAUAUAUCACACUUCUUAGCAAAAACAAAGAAGCCAAUGUAAUAAACUAUUUUAGAUCUUCAAUCUUGACACUACAUGAGCAAUGUUCUAAAAUUUUUUUCUUCAUGCCAACCAGACGAUCAACCUGAAUUAUUAAUGUUUUUCUCUGAAGGCGUAGGAAUUAGAAGUUGAAAGAAGGAAAUGACAUUUACCUUAUGUAUUUGUGUCUUCCUACCUGCACCCAUGUGAAAGGAGUAUAUUUUUCUCAUGGUCUGCAACUCUGCAAUUAAGCUAUUAUUCAUAAGGUUACCUACAAAAAAUCAGAAUAAAAAUGAUUAGCAUAAAAAUUUCCAAAUUCUGACGAGGCAAAACCUGGUUGCAUAUUAUAAAUCCAAACAAAAGCCAUUAACCCAUCUAGAUCUUAACAUUCCUACCUUCUUCAUUUAGUACUGAAUGUUUACUCUCCUAGGGAAACAAAAGAUACAAAAUGGUUCUAUAAUCCACACAAACAUCCUACCUUCUAUCUAGAAACUGGUCAUGCAAACUGCUCUCCAUUUGUCCUAGAGAUGGAGCGAUGGUGCUAACUUGAUCCAGGAUCAUGGGCUUACUGCCAAACUCCACCAACGGUUUAGACACACUGAGCGACUGUAGUCGUAAGUGGAUGCCAAAGCUUCUAACAACAAUGAGGCCUUCAUGGCUGCAGCAAUCCUCCUCCAAAUCCAGCCCCCACCCUGUGGAAAAAUGCAGUAAACCCCAAGAAACAGUUAGAUCCUUGGAUCUGAUCUGAUCCAAAAACUUAGACCCCAGAGCAUACAAUUAGCAAUAAGGGAAUCAAUCCAUUAUUUCUGGUAUACAAUUUGUUCCCAUGAUAUGAAACCAGGUAUCAUUGCAUUAGCCUAAACCAGUAAACCACAAACUAUAAGUUGCAGGGGAGCCGCUCAAGUAGAAACCAAGAACCAGCUAUUAUAAUCUAAGUGUGCAGAGAUAACACACAUAGUCAGUAUGAAAACACAGAGCCAGGCAGAGAUGAUGAUUUUUUUUUUUCAUACAACAGAUACUUAUAAUAGCUAAUAAGCAUAGCGCACCUAGAUUCAUAGCAACAAAAUUACAGAAAAAUAUUUGUAAAUUGGAU
RNAcentral lists this long non-coding RNA (2021 nucleotides) under Sorghum bicolor (sorghum). RNAcentral describes it as "long non-coding RNA (SBIC_LNC007495)". Lineage: Eukaryota; Viridiplantae; Streptophyta; Magnoliopsida; Poales; Poaceae. The record is from RNAcentral.